GCGCAGCAGUCGAGAAACCUCCGCAAUACACGAAAGUGUGACGGGGCCAUCCCGAGUGCCGUCCGCUGAGGACGGCUUUUCCCCAGUGUACACAGCUGGGGGAAUAAGGAGAGGGCAAGCCUGGUGUCAGCCGCCGCGGUAAUACCAGCUCUCCGAGUGGUGGGGACGCUUAUUGGGCCUAAAGCAUCCGUAGCCGGCUGGGCAAGUCCUCCGUUAAAUCCAACGAUUCAAUCGUUGGGCUGCGGGGGAUACUGUCCAGCUUGGGGGCGGGAGAGGCCGACGGUAUUCCCGGGGUAGGGGUGAAAUCCUAUAAUCCCCGGGAGGACCACCAGUGGCGAAGGCUGUCGGCUAGAACGCGCCCGACGGUGAGGGAUGAAAGCUGGGGGAGCGAACCGGAUUAGAUACCCGGGUAGU
This 414-nucleotide ribosomal RNA is filed under the name uncultured microorganism. RNAcentral describes it as "bacterial SSU rRNA". It matches the Rfam family "Archaeal small subunit ribosomal RNA", at positions 330 to 745 of the family's 1478-position model. The record is from RNAcentral.